This 254-nucleotide ribosomal RNA is filed under the name uncultured bacterium. RNAcentral's name for it is "partial 16S ribosomal RNA". It matches the Rfam family "Bacterial small subunit ribosomal RNA", at positions 524 to 776 of the family's 1533-position model. The record is from RNAcentral.
UACGUAGGGGCCUAGCGUUGUCCGGAUUUAUUGGGCGUAAAGAGCUCGUAGGCGGUUCGGCAAGUCGGAUGUGAAAUCUCCACGCUUAACGUGGAGGGGCCAUUCGAAACUGCCGUGACUUGAGUCCGGUAGGGGAGUGUGGAAUUCCCGGUGUAGCGGUGAAAUGCGCAGAUAUCAGGAGGAACACCGGUGGCGAAGGCGGAUCUCUGGGCCUUACCUGACGCUCAGGUGCGAAAGCGUGGAAAGCAAACAGG